Molecule: ribosomal RNA, 1814 nt
Filed under: Escherichia coli
Lineage: Bacteria; Pseudomonadati; Pseudomonadota; Gammaproteobacteria; Enterobacterales; Enterobacteriaceae
Description: partial 23S ribosomal RNA
Rfam family: Bacterial large subunit ribosomal RNA
Source: RNAcentral
UCGAGUCGGCCUGCGCGGAAGAUGUAACGGGGCUAAACCAUGCACCGAAGCUGCGGCAGCGACACUGUGUGUUGUUGGGUAGGGGAGCGUUCUGUAAGCCUGUGAAGGUGUGCUGUGAGGCAUGCUGGAGGUAUCAGAAGUGCGAAUGCUGACAUAAGUAACGAUAAAGCGGGUGAAAAGCCCGCUCGCCGGAAGACCAAGGGUUCCUGUCCAACGUUAAUCGGGGCAGGGUGAGUCGACCCCUAAGGCGAGGCCGAAAGGCGUAGUCGAUGGGAAACAGGUUAAUAUUCCUGUACUUGGUGUUACUGCGAAGGGGGGACGGAGAAGGCUAUGUUGGCCGGGCGACGGUUGUCCCGGUUUAAGCGUGUAGGCUGGUUUUCCAGGCAAAUCCGGAAAAUCAAGGCUGAGGCGUGAUGACGAGGCACUACGGUGCUGAAGCAACAAAUGCCCUGCUUCCAGGAAAAGCCUCUAAGCAUCAGGUAACAUCAAAUCGUACCCCAAACCGACACAGGUGGUCAGGUAGAGAAUACCAAGGCGCUUGAGAGAACUCGGGUGAAGGAACUAGGCAAAAUGGUGCCGUAACUUCGGGAGAAGGCACGCUGAUAUGUAGGUGAAGUCCCUCGCGGAUGGAGCUGAAAUCAGUCGAAGAUACCAGCUGGCUGCAACUGUUUAUUAAAAACACAGCACUGUGCAAACACGAAAGUGGACGUAUACGGUGUGACGCCUGCCCGGUGCCGGAAGGUUAAUUGAUGGGGUCAGCGCAAGCGAAGCUCUUGAUCGAAGCCCCGGUAAACGGCGGCCGUAACUAUAACGGUCCUAAGGUAGCGAAAUUCCUUGUCGGGUAAGUUCCGACCUGCACGAAUGGCGUAAUGAUGGCCAGGCUGUCUCCACCCGAGACUCAGUGAAAUUGAACUCGCUGUGAAGAUGCAGUGUACCCGCGGCAAGACGGAAAGACCCCGUGAACCUUUACUAUAGCUUGACACUGAACAUUGAGCCUUGAUGUGUAGGAUAGGUGGGAGGCUUUGAAGUGUGGACGCCAGUCUGCAUGGAGCCGACCUUGAAAUACCACCCUUUAAUGUUUGAUGUUCUAACGUGGACCCGUGAUCCGGGUUGCGGACAGUGUCUGGUGGGUAGUUUGACUGGGGCGGUCUCCUCCUAAAGAGUAACGGAGGAGCACGAAGGUUGGCUAAUCCUGGUCGGACAUCAGGAGGUUAGUGCAAUGGCAUAAGCCAGCUUGACUGCGAGCGUGACGGCGCGAGCAGGUGCGAAAGCAGGUCAUAGUGAUCCGGUGGUUCUGAAUGGAAGGGCCAUCGCUCAACGGAUAAAAGGUACUCCGGGGAUAACAGGCUGAUACCGCCCAAGAGUUCAUAUCGACGGCGGUGUUUGGCACCUCGAUGUCGGCUCAUCACAUCCUGGGGCUGAAGUAGGUCCCAAGGGUAUGGCUGUUCGCCAUUUAAAGUGGUACGCGAGCUGGGUUUAGAACGUCGUGAGACAGUUCGGUCCCUAUCUGCCGUGGGCGCUGGAGAACUGAGGGGGGCUGCUCCUAGUACGAGAGGACCGGAGUGGACGCAUCACUGGUGUUCGGGUUGUCAUGCCAAUGGCACUGCCCGGUAGCUAAAUGCGGAAGAGAUAAGUGCUGAAAGCAUCUAAGCACGAAACUUGCCCCGAGAUGAGUUCUCCCUGACCCUUUAAGGGUCCUGAAGGAACGUUGAAGACGACGACGUUGAUAGGCCGGGUGUGUAAGCGCAGCGAUGCGUUGAGCUAACCGGUACUAAUGAACCGUGAGGCUUAACCUUACAACGCCGAAGGUGUUU